AUAUUGGUCAAUGGACGCAAGUCUGAACCAGCCAUGCCGCGUGAAGGAUGAAGGUCCUCUGGAUUGUAAACUUCUUUUGUAGGGGAAGAAACCCUGGUAUUCCUACCAGGUUGACGGUACCCUAGGAAUAAGCACCGUCUAACUCCGUGCCAGCAGCCGCGGUAAUACGGAGGGUGCAAGCGUUAUCCGGAUUCACUGGGUUUAAAGGGUGCGUAGGAGGAUAGGUAAGUCAGUGGUGAAAUCUCCGGGCUUAACUCGGAAACUGCCGUUGAUACUAUUUAUCUUGAAUUCUGUGGAGGUGAGCGGAAUAUGUCAUGUAGCGGUGAAAUGCUUAGAUAUGACAUAGAACACCAAUUGCGAAGGCAGCUCACUACACAGCGAUUGACUCUGAGGCACGAAAGCGUGGGGAUCAAACAGG
Molecule: ribosomal RNA, 418 nt
Filed under: uncultured bacterium
Lineage: Bacteria
Description: bacterial SSU rRNA
Rfam family: Bacterial small subunit ribosomal RNA
Source: RNAcentral